Molecule: ribosomal RNA, 493 nt
Filed under: uncultured bacterium
Lineage: Bacteria
Description: partial 16S ribosomal RNA
Rfam family: Bacterial small subunit ribosomal RNA
Source: RNAcentral
GACGAACGCUGGCGGCGUGCUUAACACAUGCAAGUCGAGCGAUGAAAGCCUUAUGAACUAUUCGUAGUGAUUGGGGCCGGAUUAGCGGCGGACGGGUGAGUAACGCGUGAGCAACCUGCCUUAAACAACGGGAUAGCCUCGGGAAGCCGGGCUUAAUACCGUAUGAGAUCCCGCCUUCACAUGACGAAGAGGUUAAAGAUUAUCGGUUUAAGAUGGGCUCGCGUCUGAUUAGCUAGUUGGUGAGAUAAAAGCCCACCAAGGCAACGAUCGGUAACCGGCUUGAGAGAGUGAACGGUCACAUUGGAACUGAGACACGGUCCAAACUCCUACGGGAGGCAGCAGUGGGGAAUAUUGCACAAUGGGGGAAACCCUGAUGCAGCGACGCCGCGUGAGCGAUGAAGGAAUUCGUUUCGUAAAGCUCUGUCCAAGGGGAAGAUAAUGACAGUACCCUUGGAGGAAGCCCCGGCUAAAUACGUGCCAGCCGCCGCGGUAA